Molecule: transfer RNA, 70 nt
Filed under: Camelus bactrianus (Bactrian camel)
Lineage: Eukaryota; Metazoa; Chordata; Mammalia; Artiodactyla; Camelidae
Also listed under: 2 other names
Rfam family: tRNA
About the family: Transfer RNA (tRNA) molecules are approximately 80 nucleotides in length. Their secondary structure includes four short double-helical elements and three loops (D, anti-codon, and T loops).
Source: Rfam by way of RNAcentral
GGGGAUAGCUCAGUGGUAGGGUGCAUGUUUAGCAUGCAUGAGGUCCUGGGUUCAAUCCCUGGUACCUCCA